GGAUUUUCCCAGCAAGAUCUCCAUGUACAGCUACAUCUUUAGGGCCGCUCGGGUUAAUAUAUGUCGUCAGAGGCUCCUCACGCCAAUCCCGGGGCGGCAGGGGCGGCGCCUCGAGCUCUCGGCAAUAAAACUUUUUGAUGUUCACGUUGCUAAUUGCCGAGGUCCUCUUCCAGGAUUGGCUACCUCCUCAUAACCAUAAGAUAAUUAAAACUUGGCGGGGGGGGGGGGCAGGGUUAAAAAAACUUUUUUUAUCAGUCAGAGGAUAAUGCAAGUGUUUAACAGAUGCUUCACUAUUAAAAUAUUUUCCCCCCAAGUCUCAAAUAUUGAAGAAUCUCUAACCAGGGACACCAGUCCCUACGAAGACCUUGGGCGAUUUUGAAGUGCGGGCACCUCGAUUCCCCGAAUCUGUAGUGUGGCUGGUAUCGGUGUUCCCCUGGUUUAACUAGCCUGUUUGAAGGCACAGAUCAUUCAUGGGGAUGUAUAACCGAAACCAGUCCUCUCCACCGCCUGGGGAUCUUCACUUUCGCAGUCUACGACUGCCUGUGACUCCAGAAAGACAAACUGCAGAUUGGCCAAGAUGGGGAAAUUGAGGCAGAGAAGCCAAGACAUGUGCUAAAGGUCAUGCAGGCUAUGAAUGGAGCUGGAAUGUGAACGCAGGCCAUAUGACCCCAGAGCCCAUGUUCUUGAACCCUUAGAAAGACAGCAGCAACACACCUGGUGCAGCAGCUGCUUAGUUGGAGUGGCUGACAAGGUUGGCAGAGGAUCCCGUUCCUCCCGUGGAGUGGCUGCCAUGAUACUGCCUGCACUGAAGCUGCUCCUAUUUCUGAAAUAUGUAUUGUUAUUUUUUUCCCUGCAUGUUGAACAUUAUACUCUUCUGUUCUUUCGCAUUCUCUUCUUCCCUUCCGGAUGACUUCUAGGGUUUUUGUGAUUCUGUAAUUCUAAAGGAGAAAGGAUAAUAAGAAUUGUGAGGCCGGGCGCGGUGGCUCAUGCCUGUAAUCACAGCACUUUGGGAGGCCAAGGUGGGCGGAUCACUAGGUGAGGAGAUGGAGACCAUCCUGGCUAACACGGUGAAACCCCGUCUCUACUAAAAAUACAAAAAAUUAGCGGGGUGUGGUGGCGGGCGCCUGUAGUCCCAGCAACUCGGGAGGCUGAGGCAGGAGAAUGGCGUGAACCCGGGAAGCGGAGCUUGCAGUGAGCCGAGAUUGCGCCACUGCACUCCAGCCUGGGCGAAGAGGGAGACUCCAUCUUAAAAAAUUAAAAAAAAAAAUUACAGAAAAUUAGCUGGGCGCGGUGGCGGGCGCCUAUAGUCCCAGCUACUCGGGAGGCUGAGGCAGGAGAAUGACGUGAACCCGAGAAGCGGAGCUUGCAGUGAGCCAAAAUCGCGCCACUGCACUCCAGCCUGGGCGGCAGAGCGAGACUCCGUCUCAAAAAAAAAAAAAAAAGAAUUGUGAUGUGAGUGUCCAAAAAAACCCUGAUUUCCAAUCACCUACACAUGGCUGUUUCCUAGAUACACCAGAAAAAAUUGUGACUUUCCGGAUACCUAGUUUCCCUCCCUCCCUCCCUCCCUCCCUUCUUCCCUCCCUC
Molecule: long non-coding RNA, 1584 nt
Filed under: Homo sapiens (human)
Lineage: Eukaryota; Metazoa; Chordata; Mammalia; Primates; Hominidae
Description: HSALNT0080928
Source: RNAcentral